CCUGGCUCAGAACGAACGCUGGCGGCGUGGAUAAGACAUGCAAGUCGAACGAGAUUUUCUUUGGUAGCAAUACCGAAGAAAGUCUAGUGGCGAACGGGUGCGUAACACGUGGGCAAUCUGCCUUAAAGUGGGGGAUAGCUCGGCGAAAGCCGAAUUAAUACCGCAUGUGAUCAGAGGGGACAUCCCUUCGAAAUCAAAGUCGGGGCAACCUGACGCUUUUUGAGGAGCCCGCGGCCUAUCAGCUAGUUGGUGAGGUAAUGGCUCACCAAGGCUCUGACGGGUAGCUGGUCUGAGAGGACGACCAGUCACACUGGAACUGAGACACGGUCCAGACACCUACGGGUGGCAGCAGUCGAGAAUUUUUCUCAAUGGGGGAAACCCUGAAGGAGCGACGCCGCGUGGAGGAUGAAGGUCUUCGGGUUGUAAACUCCUGUCAUUUGGGAACAAGUUGGACGCCGUAACUGCGCGUCCAUUGAUAGUACCAGAAGAGGAAGGGACGGCUAACUCUGUGCCAGCAGCCGCGGUAAUACAGAGGUCUCAAGCGUUGUUCGGAUUCAUUGGGCGUAAAGGGUGUGUAGGUGGCGCGCUAAGUCGGGUGUGAAAUUUCGGAGCUUAACUCCGAAACUGCAUUCGAUACUGGCGUGCUUG
This 648-nucleotide ribosomal RNA is filed under the name uncultured soil bacterium. RNAcentral describes it as "bacterial SSU rRNA". It matches the Rfam family "Bacterial small subunit ribosomal RNA", at positions 18 to 644 of the family's 1533-position model. The record is from RNAcentral.